AGCAGUGAGGGAAUAUUGGUCAAUAGCCCAACGGCUGAACCAGCAACUUGAAAGAAUGUAAAGACUUUUGUGUAAAGUUCUAGAUAUAAUAUUGAUAAAGACAACUUUAUAUCUAUGUGUCUUGACCAAAUCACGUGCCAGCAGUCGCGGUAACACGUGGAAGACUAGUGUUAUUCAUCUUUAUUAGGUUUAAAGGGUACCUAGACUGUAUAUUUAGCCUAAGUAAGGUACAGAUAUACUAGAGUUUUAUAUGAGGAGGUAGAAUUUUUGGAGAAGUGAUAAAAUACAUCUAUACUAAAAAGACUGUUAACGGUGAAGACAACCUUCUAUGUAUGAACUGACGUUGAGGGACGAAGGCUUGGGUAACGAUAAGGAUUAGAUACCCUAGUAGUCCAAGCAGAAAAUGAUGAAUGUCAUAGACUAGAAAAUUUAGACUAUAAAUGAAAAUGUAAGCAUUCCACCUUAAGAGUAAUGUGGCAACACAGAAACUUAAAUCAUUAGACCGUUUCUGAAACCAGUAGUGAAGUAUGUUAUUUAAUUCGAUGACCCGCGAAAAACCUUACCACAAUUUGUAUAUUAUUUAUUUAAUACAGGUGCUGCACGGCUGUCUUUAGUUAAUGUCGUGAGAUUUUGGUUAGUUCCAUUAAUUAACGUAAACCCUUGUUUUAUUUUAUAAUAAAACAGCUCUGCCACUAUAUCGGUAAGUUAACAGGGAUUAAGACAAGUCAUCAUGGCCUUAAUAUUGUGGGCUAUAGACGUGCCA
Molecule: ribosomal RNA, 763 nt
Filed under: Fusichalara minuta
Lineage: Eukaryota; Fungi; Ascomycota; Eurotiomycetes; Sclerococcales; Dactylosporaceae
Description: SSU rRNA
Rfam family: Bacterial small subunit ribosomal RNA
Source: RNAcentral